Molecule: ribosomal RNA, 216 nt
Filed under: Glomeromycotina sp.
Lineage: Eukaryota; Fungi; Glomeromycota
Description: partial small subunit ribosomal RNA
Rfam family: Eukaryotic small subunit ribosomal RNA (bases 47-216)
Source: RNAcentral
GGGUCAGUAGGUUGGUCGUGCCACCGGUACGUACUGGUCUCACUGGUUCCUCCUUCCUGAAGAACCGUAAUGCCAUUAAUUUGGUGUUGCGGGGAAACAGGACUGUUACUUUGAAAAAAUUAGAGUGUUUAGAGCAAGCUAACGCUUGAAUACAUUAGCAUGGAAUAAUGAAAUAGGACGAUCGAUCCUAUUUUGUUGGUUUCUAGGAUUGACGUA